This 72-nucleotide transfer RNA is filed under the name Candidatus Collierbacteria bacterium. RNAcentral's name for it is "tRNA-Ala". It matches the Rfam family "tRNA". From Rfam's summary of the family: Transfer RNA (tRNA) molecules are approximately 80 nucleotides in length. Lineage: Bacteria; Candidatus Collieribacteriota. The record is from RNAcentral.
GGGUCCGUAGCUCAAUGUUAGAGCACCCCGAUGGCAUCGGGGAGGUUGGGGGUUCAAAUCCCUCUAGGCCCA